CAGUCGCCGCGGGAAUACGGAGGGUGCAAGCGUUAAUCGGAAUUACUGGGCGUAAAGCGUGCGUAGGCGGUUCGUUAAGUCUGUUGUGAAAGCCCCGGGCUCAACCUGGGAAUGGCAAUGGAUACUGGCGAGCUAGAGUGUGUCAGAGGAUGGUGGAAUUCCCGAUGUAGCGGUGAAAUGCGUAGAGAUCGGGAGGAACAUCAGUGGCGAAGGCGGCCAUCUGGGACAACACUGACGCUGAGGCACGAAAGCGUGGGGAGCAAACAGGAUUAGAGACCCCCGUAGUCCCUGUCUCUUAUAC
Molecule: ribosomal RNA, 301 nt
Filed under: uncultured bacterium
Lineage: Bacteria
Description: partial 16S ribosomal RNA
Rfam family: Bacterial small subunit ribosomal RNA
Source: RNAcentral